UGUGUACUUAUAAUCCUAGUGAUAUGAGAGGCAGAGAUGAGAGGGUCAUUACCAACCCUUCUCCAAGUUCAGAGAGAGACCCUGUCUUGAGAAUAAGGCAGGAAAUGACAGAGCAGAGUCCAUCAUCAACUUCUGCCAUUUGCACCUGUAAAUGCAGCUCUAUGUACCUGCAAACACAUGUGGGCAUAUAAUAGACAUAUGCAACACAGACAUAAGACAAGACCAGUGACAGUGUUCAGAUGUGAGACUCCAUUAUAUUUGAUUCCAUUUAAAGGAACAGAAAGUAGUUUAAGGACUGCUUGAGAUGAGAUAAGAGAGGGUAAGUGGUCAACUGUGAACAAGAAUAAGAGAUCCUAUUAGAGGAGUAAAAAUAACUACAAUUGACUCAUGAUCGUGAUUGAUUAUUAAGACUUACUGAAAUUUUAACUAGGCUGACUGUUGUGAUCCAUUAGAUUUUAAACUCAGUUGGCUGGGCCCCUGGCACUCAGACUGAAUAUUGUGAUUAUACAGCUAUAUAACCAGAUAAAACUGCUUACAAGAAAUUAUGGACAAUAAAAUUUGACUUCAAGUUCUAAUAUUCUUGAUAGAAGGGUUGAAAAGAAAUAGGGAUUCCCCUAGUUGACACUUUUCAUGAGAAUGACUCCUGUAUUCAUGUAUAGAACCAUUUCAAAGGUUUUUUGUUUGUUUGUUUUUAAAAUAACCCUCCUCUUUCAAGUUUCCUCGAAAUGAAACCAAAUGUGGUUUUAUUUUUUUUUGAAUGAGAUUUUAGUAUUUUAAAUCAAUCAAGAAUUUGCCAUGGGCACCAUGUUCUUAUUUUGAAUUCCUAGAAGGAGAAAGGGAACCCAGGAGCUAGUUUGGAGUUCUUGGGAGAGAUGACCCUUUUUGAGCAUGACUUCAUUACCAGUAGGUUAUAUGUAUGUAUGUAUGUAUGUAUGUAUGCAUGUAUGAAUGUAUGUAUGUAUGAAUGUAUGUAUGUAUGUAUGUAUGUAUCUAUCUAUCUAUCUAUCUAUCUAUCUAUCUGGAACAAUAAUAAUUAUAGAAGAAGAGAUCAAGAAUCCAAAAGAGUAUAAUGGGAGGGGGGAUUGGAAGGAGAAGAGAGAGAAGUUGAAAUGAUGUAACUACAGUGAACUCAUAUAGGAAAUUCUUUUAAAAAGUAUUGAAAAUGGUGUUAAUUUUUAAAUAUUUAUAAGUAUUUUAAAUUAUCUUCAUUUUGUUUUCAAUUGAAUUUUCUUUAUUUUGGGGAAUUCUUUUUAGCAAUAAUGUGAAAAUCCUUGAAAAUUGAAAGACAUGGUUGCACAAGUCUGUAAUCCUAGCUACUUAGGCAGCUAGCUGAGGCAGGAGGAUCACAAAUCCUAUGAUUUGCUAUAAAGCAAGCUUAAGGUCACUCUUGGUAACUUAGUUAAAUCCUGUCUCAAAAUAAAAAGAGGCUGAGAGACAGCUCUUUGGUAGAAUAUUUGCCUACCAUUUAUGAUACCUAGGUUCAGUCCUCUACAACAUAUAUAAGUAUGCACACAUGUAUAACAUAUGACAAGAAAAAAUUGAAGAACACAAACUCCAAUAAAAUAAGUAUUAUGAAGAGAAAUAGAAUGCCAGAAAAUUAGAUGAUAUUUGAUACAGAUGAAAUCAGAAAUAAAAGAACCUAUACCAGCAAGCCAAUCUUUAAAUAUACUUUCUAUGGUGGUUAAAAAUUGGCUCCUCUUCCAAUAAAUAGAUGAUCUUGUCUGAUGCAUUUAAUGACACAGAAUGCCAAAGCAUCUAUUCAGUUAAGAUUGCAAACUUUGAAGGCGGGUGUUGUAGAGGUUCAAGACAGGAUUUCUCUGUGUAGUCCUUGCUGUCUGGAGCUCACUCUGAAGACCAGUCUGGCUUCGAAUUUAGAAAUCCACUUUCUUCUGUCUUCCUAGUAGUCAGCAGUAGUGAUGCAUGCCCUUAAUCUCAGCACUCAGGAAGCAGAGGCAAGUAGAUCUCAGGCUGGUCUACAGAACAAGUUCCAGGUUCCAGGACAGUCAGGGCUGCACAGAAAAACCACAUCCCAAAAACC
Molecule: long non-coding RNA, 2038 nt
Filed under: Mus musculus (house mouse)
Lineage: Eukaryota; Metazoa; Chordata; Mammalia; Rodentia; Muridae
Description: long non-coding RNA chr12:11519829-11521867
Source: RNAcentral